GGCGCAGAGGCCGCUGCGGUGACUGGGGGUUGUGCUGCUGCUUUGGGUAGGCUGGGAAAUCGAUCGUUCUGCUUAAAUACGAAAUGGAAGAAGGAAGAUAUGACAUCUUGAAUACUUGUUGAUGCUGUCCUCAAGAGCAGAACUGCCUGCCAUGCAGUUCAGAAGCUGUGGGAGUGUGCAGGACCCUUCAUGCCUGAUAGCACCCAGAGAAAACAGUUAUGGUCACAAAUGCUGUUUGCAGGGAAGGAGAAGUUACUCCCUAAAGGAGUCCCAAGCCCACCGACCAUCUCCUGAAGGUUCUGAAAGCACAAACCGUGCAUGACACCUAAUCAGCUGAAUGAGUUCGAGUGCCUGCCCAAAGGAGGGGCAAGGAUGCUGAAAGGACACAAACUGAAGCCCCACCU
Molecule: long non-coding RNA, 404 nt
Organism: Aquila chrysaetos chrysaetos
Lineage: Eukaryota; Metazoa; Chordata; Aves; Accipitriformes; Accipitridae
Exons: 3
Source: RefSeq, a predicted model, not a curated record